Molecule: long non-coding RNA, 472 nt
Organism: Herpailurus yagouaroundi (jaguarundi)
Lineage: Eukaryota; Metazoa; Chordata; Mammalia; Carnivora; Felidae
Exons: 2
Source: RefSeq, a predicted model, not a curated record
CUCAUGUCUACCGUCUCUGAACUGUCUUAUUACUAAGCAAAUUGAAUAGAGGGAAAUCGCAGCCUACACACCUUUAAUGUACAUGGAUUCAGUCACGUAUGGUGUAUGCACCUGCCCAGACCUGACCCUGUCCUGUAGCCCCUGCAAAUCCAGUAAAGACUUGUUUGGAUGCGAAUCAAACCCUCAGAUGGUUGACGAUCCUUUCAAACGUUUUGACAAGGGGAAAGGAACAACUACCCGGGAAACUCAACAUUUUGAGGCGAUCUACAGCUUGGUAAAUACCAAAAAGAGUGGAAACAGGGUGAUAAAAAGAAAUAUAAGUAGCCUCACCGUUAUCUUCAGCGUACAUUAUAACGCAGAACGGCGGCUGGUGGCUCUCUGUAGAAAACACAACCUCUUUGCAAUGUUUUGUUUGUGUUACUGUUUCUGUUAGUGUGAACGAAUUACAAAUAAAGACUCACUUCAAUAUUUA